Molecule: ribosomal RNA, 502 nt
Filed under: uncultured bacterium
Lineage: Bacteria
Description: partial 16S ribosomal RNA
Rfam family: Bacterial small subunit ribosomal RNA
Source: RNAcentral
AGCGAACGCUGGCGGCGUGCCUAACACAUGCAAGUCGAACGUGAAAGGGAGCAAUCCCAAGUAAAGUGGCGUACGGGUGAGUAACACGUAGGUAAUCUACCCCAGAAUCUGGAAUAACCGGCCGAAAGGCUGGCUAAUACUGGAUAGAGCGACGGAAUCCGUAAUUGGGUUUUUCGGGAAAGGGAGCCUGUAAAAAGGCCUUCGUUCUGGGAUGAGCCUGCGUCCCAUCAGCUAGUUGGUGAGGUAAAAGCUUACCAAGGCAAUGACGGGUAGCUGGUCUGAGAGGACGAUCAGCCACACUGGAACUGAAACACGGUCCAGACUCCUACGGGAGGCAGCAGUGGGGAAUCAUGCGCAAUGGACGAAAGUCUGACGCAGCAACGCCGCGUGAGUGAAGAAGGCCUUCGGGUUGUAAAGCUCUGUCGAGUGGGACGAAAAUGCUUGGAGUUCACAGCUCCAGGAACUGACGGUACCACUAAAGGAAGCACCGGCUAACUCCGUG